UCCCCGUUGCCGGGGCAGUCCAAAUAGAAAAAUCCAACUAUUUGCAAGGGUUGCGCUCGUUGAUGGACUUAACCAAACAUCUCACGACACGAGCUGACGACGGCCAUGCAACACCUGUCACUGCUUGUCCCAUACUCAUUUUGAUAAUAUCUGAAACAACUAUUUCAGUAUCAAAACGACUAUGGGACACAUUUUCCUUUCGGAAAACUUGGCAGGAUGUCAAGCCCUGGUAAGGUUCUUCGUUUAUCAUCGAAUUAAAGAACACGCUCCACCGCUUGUGCGGGUCCCCGUCAAUUCCUUUAUGUUUUAGUCUUGCGACCGUACUCCACAGGCGGGAUGCUUAACGCGUUAGCUUCGCUACUGAAGGGGUCGAUACCUCCAACAGCUAGCAUCCAUAGUU
RNAcentral lists this unclassified non-coding RNA (400 nucleotides) under uncultured bacterium. RNAcentral's name for it is "contains 16S-23S intergenic spacer region". The record is from RNAcentral.